RNAcentral lists this transfer RNA (65 nucleotides) under bovine gut metagenome. It matches the Rfam family "tRNA", at positions 5 to 66 of the family's 71-position model. From Rfam's summary of the family: Transfer RNA (tRNA) molecules are approximately 80 nucleotides in length. Their secondary structure includes four short double-helical elements and three loops (D, anti-codon, and T loops). Further hydrogen bonds mediate the characteristic L-shaped molecular structure. tRNAs have two regions of fundamental functional importance: the anti-codon, which is responsible for specific mRNA codon recognition, and the 3' end, to which the tRNAs corresponding amino acid is attached (by aminoacyl-tRNA synthetases). tRNAs cope with the degeneracy of the genetic code in two manners: having more than one tRNA (with a specific anti-codon) for a particular amino acid; and 'wobble' base-pairing, i.e. permitting non-standard base-pairing at the 3rd anti-codon position. The record is from RNAcentral.
GCUAUAGCCAAGUGGUUAAGGCACAGCACUUUGACUGCUGCAGACGUUGGUUCGAAUCCAACUAG